This is a long non-coding RNA of Humulus lupulus (European hop), 3265 nucleotides long. RefSeq lists it as uncharacterized. The record is from RefSeq and is a predicted model, not a curated record. The transcript is spliced from 5 exons. Lineage: Eukaryota; Viridiplantae; Streptophyta; Magnoliopsida; Rosales; Cannabaceae.
UCAUUUGUUUCUAUUCUCACCCAUUAAAAAAUAGAAAGAUGAAGAAUAAAAUAAAAAAGAAAAUAAAAGGAGAAAGGAAAAAGAUAUAUAUAAAAAAGAUAUCUAAAACAAAAUUGAAAAAAAAAACUUACAGUACAAAAAUAUGAUACUAAGAAAUAUUACAUAAACUAAAAAAUUUGAAAAAAAAAUAAUGUGUACAAUAAAAAAAAAAGGAAGAAAGAAAUGUGAAAAAAAUUAUUCUAAUUUUAAAAAAAAAUACGUGGAGUACAGAAAAGAAAAAUAAAUUGUAAAUACAAUAAGGUCAAAAUUAAAAUGAAAAUAUAAAAUAAAACAAUUAUAUAAUAUAAAAAUAGGGCACUUCUUAAGUCCCUCGGUUACUUCAGGAGGACUUAGUCCUUCACUAAAUGUGAGUCGUUGGAUGGGUGUAAUUUUUGUGUUCAACGGCUGGAUUGAAUGUGAAGCUUUGAGUGUGGAAAAAUACUGAAAUACCCCAUAUGUGUACCCAUUAACCGGCUACGGUUUGUCUUCGUGUUAAGAGCAUUUAUUUUUUUUAAAAAACCUUCUGAACAAAUCAGUUUCUUUCCCUCCCCCGACUAACCGAACAAAUCAGUUUCUUUCCCUCCCCCGACUAACCGAACAAGGUUAUUCUCCUCCCCAACUCUGAAAAGAGACAUUAUUUGAAGAGGAAAACCCCCAAUGAGGAAUAUUUGUAUUGGGUUCUUGGUUUGAAUUCAAGCUCGGGGUGUUCGUUGGCUUGGUCGAUAAGUUCGUGGGGUUUUGUUUUUGAAUGUUCUGUUUCGUGUCACUCAUUCCCUCCCUUGAGUAGAUUCGCGGUUUUGGGUCGAAGGAAUGACCGUUUACUAGGUAGGUCGACAUGCUUUAGUGUUCGGGUUCGUGUAGUUGUUCCAUUCAUGGUGAGUUUCCUCUAACCGAUUUCUUGAUUAUGCAUUGUGAAUUUUUUUUUGUUUGAGUAAGUAAUUUGUAUGGCAAUACACAAAAUUUCCAAGUUUGGAUGUUUGUUGUUGGAAUUUAUGGAAGAGUAUUUUUUAAAAAAAAAAAAAUUUGGACUUUACGUUUGAAGUUGAGGAUUGAUUUGCCCAAUUUGACAAUGGUAAGUAGUUCCGAUAAAAAACAAGAGAUGAGUACAAUAGGGUUGCAUGUGAACUUAUAAUAUAGGACUAUGUGUAAUAGGAUUGAAACUCGGACUUUUAAAAGUUGUUUGAAAAAAUAUCUAUGUAAACUUGAGUGAACUAGUUAUCAGUUGUGCUUCGUUAUGUUUAUCGUGAAAUGCACACUAUUUUGGGCUUGAGUUACAGUUAGGCAAAGUAUUCUAUGCUGUGCUUGGCUUUUAUGUUGUGGGUUUUCAAUGAAAUUUGGUGCAAGGUGAGAAGAGAGAAGAAACCAGAAAGAUGAUGAUGGUGCCAAGCGGGGUUUUUUUUGUGUUGAGCGCUUUAUCGAAGGAAUAGUUGGACAAACUAAUAGGUCCAUAGAAUGCUCUUGUCGUUGUCUCGUCUCUAUUGUUGUUCACCACAUAUUCCUAUGUAUUAAAGAUUCAGCUGCUGGACAGGUUUUUGAAAUGGUUGAUGUAAAGAAAUUGGAUUACAGAUGCUCCCCUCAUCGGCUUUUCUCAAAUUUUUCCCAUAUGAAUGGGGCGCAGAAAGAGGUGGUCAAACAAAUGGGGUUCGGCACACUACUGGGGAUGAAAGAUUGUACUGUUAGAAGAAAUCUCAUAACAUGGUUGGUGUCCUGCUUCAACGUUGAAGAUGGGAGUUUGGAAGUCCACGGUAAACAAUUUAAGUUGGAUAGUAAAAUUUUGACCGCUACCAUGGGGGUUAAGGACGGAGUUCAAGAUUUAGUGGAUAGUGUUAGUGGCGAUGAGCCGAAUGAUAAGGGGGAAAGAUUAUCUAUGUCAGUUCUAGAGUUCAAACUAAAACAAAAUCAAUCAACCAACAUGUCUUUCAUUCGAGACUUCCUUUUGUUCCUUGUGUCCUCCUUUCUGAUGCCGAAAAAGGGACUAAAAAUUUCCUGAGAUUUCGACGGUCCUAUACUUGCCAUAAAAGACAUUGCAACUGUCUCUCGGAUUAAUUGGGCCUCAAUGUCGUACAAGUUUCUGUGGAAAAGCCUUCGACAGUUUCGUGCCAAACCAACCUAGUUUCUGGGAGGAUGCAUCUACUUCUUGCGGGUUUUUUAUUGUCAUCACGUUGCCUGGAAGGAAGGCUAUGUCGAUAGAAGCCUGUGCCCUUUAAAUGUUUGGUCCGAAGAUGAUUUUAAGGCCGUCCUUGAUUGGGUAGAGCAGCAAGGGGGGUUUCAGUCAAACACAAUACCAUUGUUAGAAUUGCAGGAUGGGUUGGUUGAGUUGAAGUUGCCCGCCACGAUCUCAUCCCUAUGUACUAUGGUUGCAUCACUGCAGAAGAAAAUGAUCGAUCAAGAGAAUCAAAUUGUUAAAUUAGAAGAGGUGAUUCAAAGGAAAAUGUCUAGUGAAUUUGAAAGAUUACGUAAAAGCUUCAGUCGUUCAAUAAGUUCAACUGCGGGUGGUCCUGCCAUUCUCGACUCCCGAAAAGAGAAGGAGGCUCACGGAGGGGAUGGAAGGAAGUUUAUGGACGACCCUAUAGAGGGGAACCUAUAGUUGAACAAUGGGACAAGUUGGACCAAGGUUUGGAGUCGGAGUGACCCAAUGUUGAUCGAGUGUGGUGCUGGUUUUAUGGAUGAAGUUGAAAAUUCUUUUGCAAAAGCUCCCGUUUCAUACAACGACAACAACGGUGUGGAAAUGGAGCAUGAUUUGAAUGAUUAUCAACCUAUGGCUGCACCCCCUAAUGAACAGAACGAUGUGGUGGAAGCAGCUACUGAACUGGCUGCUUCGCAGACUAAGUCGACAAGUUCCAACAAGGAGACCAAAGCAAUGUCAGUGAAAAAAAGAUUAUUCAAAACAACUGCUCAACGUAGACCUGUUGAGAAGGAGAGGGAAGGGGUGAACAGGGGAAAAGGGAAGGAAAUAGUCUUGUAUAACAUUAUUUCUGAACAUAAUAUCGAUGGUGGUACCGGUGAUCGCGUCAUUCACGAAAUAAAGGACGAUGACGACUUCAACAUUGAUCCUGCCAUUCGUAAGAGAGACGCACAACUAUGCAAAGAGGACAAGUUAUUUGAGAAUAUGGUCGCCACGUAUAUGGGAAGCGACGACUACCAGGUUGGGGCAUUUAAAUUCAAACAAUCGGCAUCCGUGGCUAGUUUCCAGCUUGGACUGUUCCUUUUUUAUAACAGUUUUUCA